UGACUGCUGAGUGGUCUCGUUUGGAGUAAGCCCCUCCCUCUACCGUUACACCAUCAGCUGAAGACAGGCUUGUCCAGGUUGGGUCCUGCCUUUGGGGGGUGCCUAAAUAUUCACUGCUGUCGCCUUCUCCUUUCUGGAAGAGGUUAAGCCUUAGGCUGUCUGGCCUGGGCGUUCUCCAGCCCUGUCUUGCCUCACUACCUUGCCUCCUGCUGAGAUGGGGCCAUUAGUUUACUGAUAAACAAGGGACACACUCCACCGUUACUGCUGCUACACAGAGCAUGCGCAGCUGUCUGUCAGCAUACCCCUCCAGACAUCCUAGGCCACCUGAGAGGUUGCCUUUUUCUCUGCUUUGCCAUUUGGAAACCCUCAGUUUGUGACCCAGAUGGUCUGCUCAGACAUAAAGUGGGAUCUAUGAUGGAGCUCCCAGAAGGAAUAUUUUCAACCAAUAAUGAACUGAACAAGUUCUGCCAAACCUAGGGUACAAUGGCUUUCUGAAGAGCCUUCACUCCAGAACUGAGGCUGGAAUCCUAGGGCAAACAUGUGACUCUUCACUUUUGUCUCAUUGUGUCUCAAUCCUUUGACCUGCCUCCUCGGUUAGACAUUAGGGAUAAGCAUGCAGCACCAAGGACGGGCUUUGACAGCUCUAAUGUCAGACAACUUCACUGUCCUGCUCCACUAGCAUCCGUCAGUCAAAUCUGAAUGGAUUUUGCAUUUUUUAAAUGACCAAAGGGGAGAAAAGUCAAAACCCCUCUGUGCUGUUAAAGGAUCACAUGAUGGCCAGUGUCUAUAAAGCUUCAUUGGAACAAGACACACUGGCUCAUUUUCACGGCUGUUGACUUCUUUUCCACUGGAUGGAGAGGUUCCUAAUCAUUCACUCUGUUGUGUGACUCACUCAGAGCUACAGUAGUGUCGCCUGUCCCACCCAUCCACUCAAAGUGUCAUUUUAGAUGUGUCAUAACUCCAUCUCAUUUCUAGUUGGACUUCGGUGUAGGACUCUAACUUGUAAUCCAUCUAGGUGAACUAUUACAUGCUCUGAUACCAUCUUCUUGCUCUUCCAAAAACUGGACUUGAUUAUUAUCAUAAUGUUUUCAUUUUUUUAUCUACAAAUAUUUGGGUGCUUUUUUUCCUGUCUUUUAUCUUUAUCAUACCCUGGCUCUUGAUUUUUGGUUCACAAAGUCUAUGUGAAUUUUUAUAGAAAAUCUUUGCUGACCUUUAACCUAGAUCAUUGAGCUCCACCAGAAAAUUCCUUCAUUGGACCAUUCUACACCAUAGAGAAGCCAUAAAUUGUAGAAAGAAUCUCUUGUGUACUGUACGGAAGCAUCACCUGUCUGUUAAAAAGCUGUUGGCCUAUUAGCUUAGGCCCAAAAUAAGAGGUGGGAGUUCUGGCAGGGAGAGAGGAUUCUGGGAUAGUCAGACUUAGGAAGUGAUUCGCCCUGAAAGCUGAUGGAGAUGGUCUUAUGAACUUGAGGAGAAGUACCUAGCCACAUGGCAGAAUUUACAGAUAAAACACGUUAAUUAAGUUAUGAGCUAGUUGGAAAAUAAGUCCAAGCUUAUUUCUUAGACAAUUAUUUGUAAUAAUAUGUCUCAGAGUCAUUUCAGGAACUGGAAAAGCCUGAUGUUACAAGAAAUCAUCCACAGUUAAAAUGUUGGUUCUAGAGCUUUCCUUGAUUUUGAGAGGACAUGUGAAAUUGACUAAAGACCUAUUAGCACCCACACCUUGCUCUGGGACAUCGUCAUCUCCCCUCACCCUGGAUUCUCCAGUUUUCCUCACUCACACUGUGUAGGACGGACGCUCUUUUGCUUCUCAAGUGUUUCCCACUCUUCAGCUCUGACUUCCCAAAGGAGAAAUUGAAUUGAUGGAUCAAUAGAUCCCAAAUCAAUGAAGAAUUAAUCCCCUUAGUCAGAACAUUUUCCUGCAUCAUGCUGGUGGCCAGCUACAGUCCCCAAAGCCUGCUGCCUGUUCCAUGCAAGAAUAGCUCAACUCUGUGGACCGCUUCCAAGUCCUGAGGCCUCUGCACUGAUGGCUCAACAUCGGCCCUCUCAAGAGACAGUACUGCAGCCUUUCCCCCCUUCCCCACAGAAACCUUGUUCAGUGCAGGGCUGGUCACAUGCCUCUCCCUCUUGUUUAAACCUCUCUAAGUUUUCCCACCACCCAAAGGAUGAAAUCUAAAUGUCUUUACACAUGAGAUGCUUGCAGCUGAAUCAUACAUAGCAUGUUGGUCUCCAGUGUAGUUCUAAAUGAGACUGUGGGUUUUGUUCAUGUCUUUUUCUUUGUCUUGCUUUUUUUUUUCUAGUAGGACUGCAUGCUCAGCUGGCCCUGAGAGCAUCUGACCUUGAACUCCUGCUCCAUUCUUGCUCCACUCAAUCCCUUAUAUUCCCUUCUCCCCUCCCCAGAUUAGCUUCCAAGAUCAUCUUACUUUGCAUGUUUAGGAGGAGACAAGCCCUGGUAUCCAUCCCUCUCUAUACCCAGGGUAAGUUAGAUACAGGACCCAAUGUGGUAGAUUGGUGUCUCACCCCGCCCUUAGAGUUUUGAGGACAAUGCAAGGUAUGGGAAAGGAACUGCUCUUGGGUAGGAGCUGAGGAAUCAACACUCAGGCUCCAAUCACAUGCUUCCACACCUGACCCACACUGUGUCUGCCUAGACCCCCACUUUCUGCCUGACCCUGACCCCCUGGCCUUACCUUUGAGUCCCUGGGUCACUUCAAAGCCUUUCCUUUUGCCCUCUUUCCAUGUAUUGUGACCAGAGUGAAUUGAUGUGACUAAGCUGUGUAGCUUGGUGUCCUGGGCCAGGCACUGCAGUCCUCUACUCUUUGAGCAUCUCUGCUCUUGUGUAUCACAACCAUCUCUGAUGCUACUGCUCAUAGAGAGGUGCUGGCCUUGACACGGGAUUCUUUCUCUGAGUGGACCAAUGGAAUUUUUCUGAUGGCAAGUUUUUUUUUUUUUUUCAGUUUGCAAACAAAGGCAUUCCCCCAAAGUAAAUAUAACAAAAUUGCCUUUACUUGACAUACACAUUUUCUGAGGACUGGAUAUGAGUUGGGGUGAAGAGGAGAGCAACAGGAGGAGCCUCUCUGAGUGAUGUUAUCAGAAGGAAGAAUAGGGAUUAGGCCAUGGCAGAAGACAAAAUGGACCCUCUUAAUGAACACUAAUUAAUGAGAAAUGAAGAAAUGUACUCCUGCAGGGAGGGAAGGAACCCCAGUAAAGCAUACAGGACAGAGACUCUGGACCACUCUCCUCAGUAGGGCUGAAUGCUAAGUCCUCAAUGCUGGCCAAAGAAUUCAUGAUUGGCAUCACCAGCCAGCAUUCUAUUUAUGGCCACUCAAAUGCCUACCCCUAGGGAUCUGCCCUGGUCAGUACGACCAGAAAGGAUAAUACUUCUACUAUCUACUUCUUAGGCCCUUCCACCUCUGCAUCUACCCUCAAGGCUGAUGUUCGGGUCCUAGGAUGUUGCUCUGUCUUGCCUUAUCAAGCUCUUCUGUCCCUGUGCCCCAGUUCCUCAUUUGCAGCACAGGGGAGAGUUAGAGAGGCAUUAAUGAUCUGACAGGGUGGCUGUGAAGAAGGAACACUGGAUUCCAGUUUUGAACAACUGAAGAUUUGACAGCCUCAUAGUUCACUGGUUAGCUCGAUUCAAAGAAUAAAGGAGUUCAUGUUA
Mastomys coucha (southern multimammate mouse) is the source of this 3649-nucleotide long non-coding RNA. RefSeq lists it as uncharacterized. The transcript is spliced from 2 exons. NCBI's taxonomy places the organism in Eukaryota, Metazoa, Chordata, Mammalia, Rodentia, Muridae. The record is from RefSeq and is a predicted model, not a curated record.